GUAGGUGGCAAGCGUUGUCCGGAAUUAUUGGGGCGUAAAGCGCGCGCAGGCGGUUCUUUAAGUCUGAUGUGAAAGCCCACGGGCUCAACCGUGGAGGGUCAUUGGAAACUGGAGAACUUGAGUACAGAAGAGGAAAGCGGAAUUCCACGUGUAGCGGUGAAAUGCGUAGAGAUGUGGAGGAACACCAGUGGCGAAGGCGGCUUUCUAGUCUGUAACUGACGCUGAGGCGCGAAAGCGUGGGGAGCAAACAGGAUUAGAUACCCUGGUAGUCCACGCCGUAAACGAUGAGUGCUAAGUGUUAGGGGGUUUCCGCCCCUUAGUGCUGCAGCUAACGCAUUAAGCACUCCGCCUGGGGAGUACGGCCGCAAAGGCUGA
RNAcentral lists this ribosomal RNA (375 nucleotides) under uncultured organism. RNAcentral's name for it is "partial 16S ribosomal RNA". It matches the Rfam family "Bacterial small subunit ribosomal RNA", at positions 527 to 897 of the family's 1533-position model. The record is from RNAcentral.